Molecule: long non-coding RNA, 1712 nt
Filed under: Ananas comosus (pineapple)
Lineage: Eukaryota; Viridiplantae; Streptophyta; Magnoliopsida; Poales; Bromeliaceae
Description: long non-coding RNA (ACOM_LNC039197)
Source: RNAcentral
UGAGCUAUACGUAGAGGAGGAGCUCGAGUGGUGUGGAGUGUCGUCGACGUCGCGCCGCGGUGCCGUUCGAGAGUAUAUUCGUCGUCGUAGCAUCGCGAGGAGGCCGGCGAGGGUUCGAUUCCGUCGUUUUCGAUUUCGCGCCGGAUUGUGAUUUGCGUUUGAGGUGGGUUUAUCAUCGGAUUUCUUCUUCUAUAGCUUUAUUAGUCGACAUGUAUCGUUGGUGUUGCACGUUACUAUUGUUUAGUUCAAAUCCAUGGGUAUGCAUGUUUUAGACAUAUAAACUGAAUUUGAAGCAUGUUAUUAGUUAUUAUUAAUUAUACAUAUUGGAUUUGGAUUUGACAUAAGAGAAAACUAGCGUUCGGGACCUAUCAUAUGUUAAACUACCUGAUUUAGCCUUAGAGGCCGUUGUAUUUUUAUACUGUCGCAGUAUCCUUGUGGUGAGUACCCCAGAUAGUUUAGUUUACUGUUACGCUCGUGCUAGGAUGCUAAGCCUAUUUUUACAGUAGUGUUUACACUGCUCUGGACUAGUGAGUGCUGUAGUGGUUGACGGCGGACCCGAAUUUAAUUGUUUUGAUAUCAGAUUAUGCCGAGGGCACGUGACUAGUGGUUGAUAGUUCAGCAAGAUCCUAUUUACUUGACAUGAGCCUGUGAGAGCCAGAAUGAAAUGACAGAGACAGUAACUCGUGGGUCGCACCCGCGAAUGCCAUUCUGGAAUGAGGUUUCAGUGCGAUAAGUGUCGCAGUUUCUGUUGGAUAGUUCUUGAGCCAGCCACCCCCGGGGCGGUGUACGGCGUAGUGAGAUACAGGCAGGGUAGGCCCGUUUGGGCAGCUCGGGUGAUAGUGAGUGACUUUUACUUGGUUAGUGUAGAGCAUGCUAGUGUAGCAAUAUGUAGUUGUAGAUUGCUUUCCAGCUUUUUCCUACUAGCUCUGUUUCUUUCAGUAGACUUAGUUAGUGGACCGGUGAUGUUGAGGGCGAUACCCACUGAGAACUACUUGUUUUUACAGUAGUUCUCACGCCCAGUUAUUACCAUUGUUUUGCAGAGCCAUCGUCUUUGGCUGCUGCUGGUGUUGCCGAUUCUGAUCGUAGCAAGAGCGUCGCGAGUUAGAGCACUACCAGACGAGUCGUUGUGAUAGAGGAGCACUUGCUGCAGGUAGUUGUACUUUUAUUAUUUUUGAGUUCAUGUACGUACUGAUGUAUAACUCGCUGGAGCGAGUACUUUUGUACAGAGUUUUCUUGUAUGUAUAUGAGACUUACUUUGUUCUACCUAUUUAUUUUCUUUACAGCUCUAUACUACUGGUUGUAGUAUUGUAUGUAUUACUGUUCCAGCUACGCUUCGUAUACAGGAUAAAUUCUUUGUAUACGGCGGAUUUGUCGACGUGCCCGGGGAACGUGCUAAUCCGGGGCGUGACAAUAUGGGUGUGUAAUAAUACAUUUUAUUAUUACCUUGUUCAAAAGUAUAUAUAUAAAUAACUUAGUUAAUUUGCGAAUUAUUCGAAAACUCUUAAAAAUCCGAAUAAAACAGUCCGUAUGCGAUUUAUUCCUAAAAAUUUGGAAUAAAACAUGAAUUUUUUGGUUUAAAUUUAUUAUUCACAAAUAAUUCGUAUAUGCCGAACUAUUCGGCCAAAAAACACGCAAAAUUUUUAGAUAAAAUCCCUUCUCGAAUUAUUGUCGAAUUAUUUAUGAAUUAUUCGCGAAUUAUUGAAAAACUUUAU